GGGUUGAAGCCCUCUGGUUUGGGCGUUUAGUUGUUAACUACAUUUUUACGGGAUCGAGGCCCGUCAGCCUAGUG
RNAcentral lists this transfer RNA (74 nucleotides) under Cyrtodactylus pageli. RNAcentral describes it as "tRNA-Asx". The record is from RNAcentral. Lineage: Eukaryota; Metazoa; Chordata; Lepidosauria; Squamata; Gekkonidae.